GUGGGGAAUCUUGCGCAAUGGGCGAAAGCCUGACGCAGCCAUGCCGCGUGAAUGAUGAAGGUCUUAGGAUUGCAAAAUUCUUUCACCGGGGACGAUAAUGACGGUACCCGGAGAAGAAGCUCCGUCUAACUUCGUGCCAGCAGCCGCGGUAAUACGAAGGGGGCUAGCGUUGCUCGGAAUUACUGGGCGUAAAGGGCGCGUAGGCGGACAGCUUAGUCAGAGGUGAAAGCCCAGGGCUCAACCUUGGAAUUGCCUUUGAUACUGGCUGUCUUGAGUUUGGGAGAGGUGAGUGGAACUCCGAGUGUAGAGGUGAAAUUCGUAGAUAUUCGGAAGAACACCAGUGGCGAAGGCGACUCACUGGCCCAAUACUGACGCUGAGGCGCGAAAGCGUGGGGAGCAAACAGGAUUAGAAACCCUUGUAGUCC
Molecule: ribosomal RNA, 425 nt
Filed under: uncultured bacterium
Lineage: Bacteria
Description: partial 16S ribosomal RNA
Rfam family: Bacterial small subunit ribosomal RNA
Source: RNAcentral